RNAcentral lists this ribosomal RNA (164 nucleotides) under Downingia ornatissima. Its description in RNAcentral is "5.8S ribosomal RNA". It matches the Rfam family "5.8S ribosomal RNA". From Rfam's summary of the family: 5.8S ribosomal RNA (5.8S rRNA) is a component of the large subunit of the eukaryotic ribosome. Lineage: Eukaryota; Viridiplantae; Streptophyta; Magnoliopsida; Asterales; Campanulaceae. The record is from RNAcentral.
AAAACGACUCUCGACAACGGAUAUCUCGGCUCUCGCAUCGAUGAAAAACGUAGCAAAAUGCGAUACUUGGUGUGAAUUGCAGAAUCCCGUGAACCAUCGAGUCUUUGAACGCAAGUUGCGCCCGAAGCCAUUAGGCCGAGGGCACGUCUGCCUGGGCGUCACGC